CCAAUAGCGUAUAUUAAAGUUGUUGCAGUUAAAAAGCUCGUAGUUGAAUUUCGGGGUUAGUAGGCUGGUCAUGCCUCUGGUAUGUACUGGUCUCACUGAUUCCUCCUUCCUGAUGAACCGUAAUGCCAUUAAUUUGGUGUUGCGGGGAAUUUGGACUGUUACUUUGAAAAAAUUAGAGUGUUUAAAGCAAGCUAACGCUU
RNAcentral lists this ribosomal RNA (200 nucleotides) under uncultured Glomus. Its description in RNAcentral is "partial small subunit ribosomal RNA". It matches the Rfam family "Eukaryotic small subunit ribosomal RNA", at positions 591 to 796 of the family's 1831-position model. Lineage: Eukaryota; Fungi; Glomeromycota; Glomeromycetes; Glomerales; Glomeraceae. The record is from RNAcentral.